RNAcentral lists this ribosomal RNA (1483 nucleotides) under uncultured prokaryote. Its description in RNAcentral is "partial 16S ribosomal RNA". It matches the Rfam family "Bacterial small subunit ribosomal RNA". The record is from RNAcentral.
AGAGUUUGAUCCUGGCUCAGGAUGAACGCUAGCGGCAGGCUUAACACAUGCAAGUCGAGGGGUAACAGGAGUAGCUUGCUACUUGCUGACGACCGGCGCACGGGUGCGUAACGCGUAUACAAUCUACCUUUUGCUGAGGGAUAGCCCAGAGAAAUUUGGAUUAACACCUCAUGGUAUGUAGGGAUGGCAUCAUCCUAUAUUAAAGGUUACGGCAGAAGAUGAGUAUGCGUUCUAUUAGCUAGAUGGUGUGGUAACGGCACACCAUGGCGACGAUAGAUAGGGGCCCUGAGAGGGGGAUCCCCCACACUGGUACUGAGACACGGACCAGACUCCUACGGGAGGCAGCAGUGAGGAAUAUUGGGCAAUGGAGGCAACUCUGACCCAGCCAUGCCGCGUGCAGGAAGACUGCCCUAUGGGUUGUAAACUGCUUUUAUACAGGAAGAAACACUCCCUCGUGAGGGAGCUCUCUUGACGGUACUUCCAAAGGAAGCCCCGGCUAACUCCGUGCCAGCAGCCGCGGUAAUACGGAGGGGGCUAGCGUUGUUCGGAAUCACUGGGCGUAAAGCGCGCGUAGGCGGUUUAUCAAGUUGGGCGUGAAAGCCCGGGGCUCAACCCCGGAACUGCGUUCAAAACUGGUUGAAUAGAGUCCGAGAGAGGGUGGUGGAAUUCCCAGUGUAGAGGUGAAAUUCGUAGAUAUUGGGAAGACCCCAGUGGCGAAGGCGGCCACCUGGCUCGGUACUGACGCUGAGGUGCGAAAGCGUGGGGAGAAAACAGGAUUAGAUACCCUGGUAGUCCACGCCGUAAACGAUGGUCACUAGCUGUUUGGACUUCGGUCUGAGUGGCUAAGCGAAAGUGAUAAGUGACCCACCUGGGGAGUACGUUCGCAAGAAUGAAACUCAAAGGAAUUGACGGGGGCCCGCACAAGCGGUGGAGCAUGUGGUUUAAUUCGAUCAUACGCGAGGAACCUUACCAGGGCUAAAUGUAAGUUGCAUGAUUUAGAGAUAGAUCUUUCUUCGGACUACUUACAAGGUGCUGCAUGGUUGUCGUCAGCUCGUGCCGUGAGGUGUCAGGUUAAGUCCUAUAACGAGCGCAACCCCUGUUGUUAGUUGCCAGCGAGUCAUGUCGGGAACUCUAACAAGACUGCCGGUGCAAACCGUGAGGAAGGUGGGGAUGACGUCAAAUCAUCACGGCCCUUACGUCCUGGGCUACACACGUGCUCAAUGGUAGGUACAGAGAGCAGCCACUUCGUGAGAAGGAGCGAAUCUAUAAAACCUAUCACAGUUCCGAUCGGAGUCUGCAACUCGACUCCGUGAAGCUGGAAUCGCUAGUAAUCGGAUAUCAGCCAUGAUCCGGUGAAUACGUUCCCGGGCCUUGUACACACCGCCCGUCAAGCCAUGGAAGUUGGAAGUGCCUGAAGUCCGUCACCGCAAGGAGCGGCCUAGGGUAAAGUCGAUAACUAGGGCUAAGUCGUAACAAGGUAACC